CCCCUCUCAGGGUCACACCUGGAGAGUUUCCAGAACUCUACCAGUCUUGACUAUGGGAGGGAGAGCCAAGUAGAGGCAUACCCUUUCCAUUUUUUGCUUGGGCAGUGGCUAGAGAGUGGAAGGCAAUCUUCUACAAGU
Molecule: small nucleolar RNA, 138 nt
Organism: Tachyglossus aculeatus (Australian echidna)
Lineage: Eukaryota; Metazoa; Chordata; Mammalia; Monotremata; Tachyglossidae
Source: RefSeq, a predicted model, not a curated record